GAAAUGCGAUAAGUAAUGUGAAUUGCAGAAUUCCGUGAAUCAUCGAAUCUUUGAACGCACAUUGCGCCCUCUGGCAUUCCGGGGGGCAUGCCUGUCCGAGCGUCAUUACGCACCCUCAAGCCCGGCUGGUGUGAUGGGCCCUGGCGUCUCGUUCGCGAGACGGGCCCGAAAGGCAGCGGCGGCGUCGACCCGAUGAACCCGAGCGUAUGGGGACUUUUGUCACACGUUUGCGGUGCGGACCGGCGCCUGCUUGACUUUUCUGAUUAUCCAGGUUGACCUCGGAUCAGGUAGGGAUACCCGCUGAACUUAAGC
This 312-nucleotide unclassified non-coding RNA is filed under the name plant metagenome. RNAcentral describes it as "partial contains 5.8S ribosomal RNA, internal transcribed spacer 2, and large subunit ribosomal RNA". The stretch from base 1 to 105 matches the Rfam family "5.8S ribosomal RNA", at positions 50 to 154 of the family's 154-position model. The record is from RNAcentral.